This 327-nucleotide ribosomal RNA is filed under the name uncultured bacterium. RNAcentral's name for it is "bacterial SSU rRNA". It matches the Rfam family "Bacterial small subunit ribosomal RNA", at positions 28 to 334 of the family's 1533-position model. The record is from RNAcentral.
GACGAACGCUGGCGGCGCGCUUAAAACAUGCAAGUCGAACGGAGUGAUUCAGACAGAAGUUUUCGGACGGAAGACUGAAUGACUUAGUGGCGGACGGGUGAGUAACACGUGAGGAACCUGCCUUUCAGAGGGGGAUAACGUUUGGAAACGAACGCUAAUACCGCAUGACAUAUUCUUCAGGCAUCUGAGGGAUAUCAAAGGAGAAAUCCGCUGAGAGAUGGCCUCGCGUCUGAUUAGGUAGUUGGUGAGGUAACGGCCCACCAAGUCGACGAUCAGUAGCCGGUCUGAGAGGAUGAACGGCCACAUUGGGACUGAGAUACGGCCCAG